GAUGAACGCUGGCGGCGUGCCUAAUACAUGCAAGUCGAGCGAACAGACGAGGAGCUUGCUCCUCUGACGUUAGCGGCGGACGGGUGAGUAACACGUGGAUAACCUCCCUAUAAGACUGGGAUAACUUCGGGAAACCGGAGCUAAUACCGGAUAAUAUAUUGAACCGCAAGGUUCAAUAGUGAAAGACGGUUUUGCUGUCACUUAUAGAUGGAUCCGCGCCGCAUUAGCUAGUUGGUAAGGUAACGGCUUACCAAGGCAACGAUGCGUAGCCGACCUGAGAGGGUGAUCGGCCACACUGGAACGGAGACACGGUCCAGACUCCUACGGGAGGCAGCAGUAGGGAAUCUUCCGCAAUGGGCGAAAGCCUGACGGAGCAACGCCGCGUGAGUGAUGAAGGUCUUCGGAUCGUAAAACUCUGUUAUUAGGGAAGAACAAAUGUGUAAGUAACUAUGCACGUCUUGACGGUACCUAAUCAGAAAGCCACGGCUAACUACGUG
Molecule: ribosomal RNA, 497 nt
Filed under: uncultured bacterium
Lineage: Bacteria
Description: partial 16S ribosomal RNA
Rfam family: Bacterial small subunit ribosomal RNA
Source: RNAcentral